CGCUGGCGGCGUGCCUAAUACAUGCAAGUCGAGCGGAUCGAUUCGGAGCUUGCUCCGAUGAAGUCAGCGGCGGACGGGUGAGUAACACGUGGGUAACCUGCCUGGCAGACUGGGAUAACGCUUGGAAACGAGUGCUAAUACCGGAUAAUCCCUUGGAUCGCAUGGUUCGAGAGUAAAGGAGCUUUUGCUUCACUGCCAGAUGGACCCGCGGCGCAUUAGCUAGUUGGUGAGGUAACGGCUCACCAAGGCGACGAUGCGUAGCCGACCUGAGAGGGUGACCGGCCACACUGGGACUGAGACACGGCCCAGACUCCUACGGGAGGCAGCAGUAGGGAAUCUUCCGCAAUGGGCGCAAGCCUGACGGAGCAACGCCGCGUGAGUGAUGAAGGCCUUUCCGGGUUGUAAAACUCUGUCUUCUGUGAAGAACCAUCCUGUGCAGAGAAAGCUCAGGACCUGACGGUAACAGAGGAGGAAGCCCCGGCUAACUACGUGCCAGCAGCUGC
Molecule: ribosomal RNA, 503 nt
Filed under: uncultured bacterium
Lineage: Bacteria
Description: bacterial SSU rRNA
Rfam family: Bacterial small subunit ribosomal RNA
Source: RNAcentral